Molecule: long non-coding RNA, 1963 nt
Organism: Andrographis paniculata
Lineage: Eukaryota; Viridiplantae; Streptophyta; Magnoliopsida; Lamiales; Acanthaceae
Exons: 7
Source: RefSeq, a predicted model, not a curated record
UUAACCCUAGCACCUAUUCCGUUCGUCCUCCAGAAGCUUCGCUGCCUCCAUCUACUCCGCGCAGUCGCAGUCGCCGUCUCCAACUCCAGCUCCUCUCCUCUACCCAUUGCUCCCGUCUUUGAAGGUAGGGGGCGGGGCCUGGGGGACAUACCGGAGGAUCUGUGUUCCGCUACCUAACGCUGCCGGAGAUAUGCAAUUGGCGCAGCGCAUUCCACGGCACCCCUUCGUCGGAUGCGGUUUGGGAAUCCAAGCUUCCAUGUGAUUACCACCAGCUGCUCGAUUUCCUCUGUUUCUGUAUGAAGAAUAUCUACUUACUCCUUCUGUUCGACGACAGAAACAAGGCACGUUAAUUAAUUUCCGAUGCAUCUCGAAAUAAAAUUCUUGUGUGGAGAUUGCAUUUACAAUGGCGAAGAGGCAUAAGAAGCGUGGGAUUAUACAAUUCUUGAUGAAGUAGGCUUAAUGUUCUGUACGUCAUGCCCUUGGUUUUGUAUGCAACAAGUACUAAUUCCAUAUGAGUUCAAGUACUAAUUUUGUACUCUUCCAUUUUGAAUGCAUAAUUCUAUUAGGGGCAGCUCACAUUAAUCAGGUGAGCAUAUCAAUGAGGUAUUUGGAUCGAGUUUUAGGUGUGUUGCUACAUCACAAGCAAGUCAUCAUUCGUUCUCUUCAUUUUUCAAGAUGGAAUUUUAGUGAAGGGUGUCCAAGCCAGCAACAUACUUCUUGAUGAUAAAUAUGAAGUUAAUAUGGGAAGUCUCAGUGAGGUUUGUCCUCAAGAAAGUGAAACUCAUCAAAUGAGGAUCUCAAAGUUGCUCCGUUUGCCCAGAGGUAUAUGUGAAAGCAUUGGGAAAGGGUUCUCUGUUGCACCAUUGCACCAUAUCAGCGGAUUUUAAGGAAAAGACUUCAGCAUAUCGGUGGAUUCAAAUUUUAAGACCCAGAUAGAGUGUCUUCCUUCUCGCCGAACUCUAAUUUACUCGGUGUCACGGUCACUUCCACGCCGUCCGGUGCGUGCACUGUCACCUCGUACACGGCAUUCGCCUCUUUCCCGACAUUUUUUACACUUCGUUUAUACUUCACUACGCUUUUAAAGCCGUAGAAGGCAACCGAGAAUGACGGGUAGUUCAAAUCCCCCGGAGUUUUCAGCCCGACUGCGUUGCAAUCCACGAUCGACGAAUCUUUUGUGAAUGCCGUAAUUUGCCGCGCAUUGUACCCGAUGCUGCACAAAAACACGACGUAGUUUUGGGUAUCGAAGCCAUAGAUCAGGCCGGGAUCCGUUGCUCAGUUUGGAUCGACGUGGCCCGAGGAUGGAUUGGACACGUCCCCGGUGGCGAGGUCCGUUAAAUUAUUCCCGUUGUUGUCAACGUUGUACGCCGUGGUCAUCAAUGCUGAUUUGAUUGCCGCCGGCGACCACUCAGGGUGGGCCUGUUUCAGCAGCGCCGCCAAGCCGCUGACGUGAGGGCACGGCAUCGACCUGCCAGAGAUGAUGUUGAAUUCGACCUCACGAUUAUUGCUGUUGAGAGACGUUGGCCAGACGUAGCCGGUCCAGCCGGCGAGAAUGUUGACUCCGGGCGCGUUCACGUCCGGCUUGAGAAUCUCGGAGGUUAGGAGGUUCGAUAGCUCGGACCGCGGCUGGAGAACGAGGCCAUGUGCGGCGACGACGGAGAUUUGCUUACAACGGUUCCCCGCGACCUGAUAGUCGCGGUGGGAUUCGGAGUUGCGCGGACAUAAGCUCGGAUUUUGUGGCCGCUGAUUUCUCCGACCAUUGUCGAGGGAAUGAAGUGCGCAUCGGCGAGGAGUUCCUCGCCGGAAUCAGCUAAAUUUUAUUAAUAAUAUUUACAAAAACGUCAUGUUGCAAACAAAUUGAAAAAUAUUUUCGAUCUUGUAAACUUAUAAUUUUGUAACGAUGGAUUGUAAAUGAUCAUAUUGCUUGCGAUAUUCGAAAUUCAAUUUUAUAUUUCGGCUUUGUUUC